UACCCAGCAAUGCCAAAAUGAUGCAGUUUGUAAAGCCAGAGUCUCAUUGAAUGUAUAAGCUGGACACAUGCUCAACCAAGACUCAUGCUCUUAUGUUGACGUGAGCCAAUGGAUUCCUGUGGGAGCAGGUCUAGGGCUUGACUGACAGACCUCCAUAUUUUAUUAGAAUAUUUAUUCUUUUAAGAUGAUAGAUGCCAAAAUAAAUAUGGAUGGAAGAAAGGAAGACCAACUCAGAGGGAAGGACGCAUAGUCCCCUAUACCUUAAGCAUGUCAGUCUGGCAAGCGACUCUCAGUUUUCAUACAGGCAGAACUACUGUCAUUCAAAUGUGAAGACACUGUGCCUUUACUGUUGUUUAUAUUCUUUUAACAUAUCAUUUUGUGCACUUUAUUGUUAACUUGAAGUAUUUUCUUUAUAAAAUUUUUCUUUAUUCAAACUAAGGAUGAGCUUCUGAGAAUCCCGUGACUGGAGUGUAGACUAUAGAUGCUUCGUUGGAAUGAACACGGAUUAUCAGACUGCUUUGCAAACUGACGGUGUAGGCACUGACGUUGAGAACAGCCUCAGUUUAUGUAACCUCGCCCGCCUGAGGCCCUGAAGUAAGACUUUGGGUGACUUAGAAGGAGGAUAGUACCAGGAGGAUGACCAGAGAGGAGGCAGCCACCCAUAGCAGAUGUACUGUGAUUGUGCCAGAGGCAGACCUUGCCUGGCAGACUGGUGCUGUAGCAUGCAGGGACCAGAGCUGGGUAGGAGAAACCACGGGGAUGAACACAUUUGCGAUUGAGAGUGAUACAGGUAAUUUAUGUUCCUCAUCAGAACCCGGGCUAGACUUGGGGAUUUGAUAGAACUGACUUUGUGUAGUGAAUUUUGAAUGUAUUUUUGAGUAAGCGAGCAGGCAUUUGCCUCUAGAAUAAAGAAGACAUUAAGGCUGUGGGUGUGGCUCCUGUGUGGGGCUCUCAUGUGGAAUGCUUGAAAUGCAAACCUACGGAAGGAGCGAGAUCCCUCAGAGCCUGUGUUUUACGAAGCACAGAUAUCAACGCCAAUGCUCACAGCCACUUCAGGACUAAUUCCCUGUAGGUUCCCCCAGCGAUUUAUUGGAUCAGUCUGGAGAUUUGCAAAGUGGAUUUUAUUCUAUUCAUCUUCUGGCUCUUAAUCCCCCUCUACACCCAACGUGUCACGUCUCAAUUUGAUAUUUCAGGACCUCUAUAUAAGUCAUCAGAGCUUAGCGGGAGUCAAAUCAGACAAAAUAAACGGGCUAACUGCUCAGUCCCAAAUUUGACUUCAGUUGUUAUGGGGUUAGGGAAAAAACCACGGAGCAAUUUAUAACUAACCUGUCUGCUUGGUGAGAGACUCUGAUGUCCGGCAAACCCUCCCGGGCAUACUUAACCCACCUCAAAUGACACAUGGGGAAAAUGCCCGUUCUUUAACAAACAACUACAUGAAAACAAUUCAAAAUGUAAACAUGGAGGAAUAUCAACCGCACAUCCCACUGGAUUUUGUGAAGAGGGAGGCAGGCUGUGGUGGGAGUUCCUCACCAAAUUCAAAGCUCAGAAAGGGAGUUAACCUCUGAAACAUGAAGGUAGCACUACUUCCUGGAGAGAACUAGAGUGAAGAGUUGGAAAGUGGAAGAAAUCGUGUUUCCCUAACAUCACCCUCUUUGAGGUUCACCAACAUUUCUAGAACUUUCUAUUUCUGGCCUGGCUCCUUGUGUUACUGGCUAUGCUGUGAAUUUAUCUUGUUCUGCCCUGGGCAUACAAAAGUUCCUAUAACUUCUCUAUUCUUCGUGUAUGUGCAUGUAUACAGGUGUUCUAGUGAGUAUGUGGACACAUGUGCAUGUGUGUGCAUACCUGCGUGUGUAUGUACACACAUGCCUGCAUGUUCC
Non-coding RNA from Rattus norvegicus (Norway rat), 1877 nucleotides. NCBI's taxonomy places the organism in Eukaryota, Metazoa, Chordata, Mammalia, Rodentia, Muridae. The record is from RefSeq and is a predicted model, not a curated record.